Molecule: ribosomal RNA, 439 nt
Filed under: uncultured bacterium
Lineage: Bacteria
Description: partial 16S ribosomal RNA
Rfam family: Bacterial small subunit ribosomal RNA
Source: RNAcentral
CUACGGGCUGCUCCAGUGAGGAAUAUUGCACAAUGGGGGAAACCCUGAUGCAGCAACGCCGCGUGGAGGAUGACGCAUUUCGGUGUGUAAACUCCUUUUAUAUGUCAAGAAAAUGACGGUAGCAUAUGAAUAAGCACCGGCUAACUCCGUGCCAGCAGCCGCGGUAAUACGGAGGGUGCAAGCGUUACUCGGAAUCACUGGGCGUAAAGGACGCGUAGGCUGGUUGGUAAGUCAGGUGUGAAAUCCUACAGCUUAACUGUAGAACUGCACUUGAAACUACCAACCUAGAGUAUGGGAGGGGGAGAUGGAAUUAGUGGUGUAGGGGUAAAAUCCGUAGAUAUCACUAGGAAUACCGAAAGCGAAGGCGAUCUCCUGGAACAUAACUGACGCUAAGGCGUGAAAGCGUGGGGAGCAAACAGGAUUAGAUACCCGGGUAGUC